UAAAUUUAAUUUCACUGAAAAUUUAACACAGAUUGAGUGAAAUCAGCCGCAUAGCAGUCAAUGUAGGGGUAAUGUUAACGACGUGUUAAAAAAACUUGUUAUAACAUUAAUGUUAUUGGACGUCCUAUUGGAGGUCAAAAAUCAACCAACUAAAAAGAUGUUUGCUGUUCAUAAAUGGUGUUAAGAACUAGCUAGCAAUCCGCAGUAACUGACGUGUCAGUCGGUCCAUUAACAGUUACUAGGUAACGUAAAUAGCUAGCUAGUUCACCAAUUUUUCUGCAUUUGUAGUUUAAAAAAAAAAGA
Etheostoma cragini (Arkansas darter) is the source of this 303-nucleotide long non-coding RNA. RefSeq lists it as uncharacterized. The transcript has 3 exons. NCBI's taxonomy places the organism in Eukaryota, Metazoa, Chordata, Actinopteri, Perciformes, Percidae. The record is from RefSeq and is a predicted model, not a curated record.